CGAAACCGAUAGCGAACAAGUACCGUGAGGGAAAGUUGAAAAGUACUCUGAAUAGAGAGUUAAAUAGUACGUGAAACCGCUUAGGGGUUAAGCCCGAUGAACCCGAAUAUCUGAUGUGAGAAAUUCAAUACUGUUCAUUUAAUUUAUGCGAUAGUAUGCACUUUUCUCAUAGUAGGACAUUGUAAUCCAUUGAUAUUAUAUCAUUUUCACAUUAUAUGGGGAAUGAUGAUUUAACAUACGAACAAAAUGUAUAAGUUUAUUCUAUCAGUGAUAUGUUUACAUGUCAUAUGAAUAAGAUCAUUUUGUAUCUGUUUAAAUAGUCGAUGGAUUUUAAACUGAAUCAUGCUUGCAAUUUAGUUUGCGUUUCGUAUUAUUGGCUAUUUAAUUGGUUGAUAAUAGCAGAAAUGGCAUGCAUUCGAUUAACAAUGCGAUAGAUUUGGGAUACUUUCAGGACCCGUCUUGA
Molecule: ribosomal RNA, 463 nt
Filed under: Asphondylia yushimai
Lineage: Eukaryota; Metazoa; Arthropoda; Insecta; Diptera; Cecidomyiidae
Description: partial large subunit ribosomal RNA
Rfam family: Eukaryotic large subunit ribosomal RNA
Source: RNAcentral